RNAcentral lists this ribosomal RNA (229 nucleotides) under uncultured bacterium. Its description in RNAcentral is "partial 16S ribosomal RNA". It matches the Rfam family "Bacterial small subunit ribosomal RNA", at positions 568 to 796 of the family's 1533-position model. The record is from RNAcentral.
UGCGCAGGCGGGCAUGUAAGUCAGUGGUGAAAUUCUGCCGCUUAACGGUAGCACUGCCAUUGAUACUGCAAGUCUUGAAUAUGGUUGAGGUAGGCGGAAUGUGUUGUGUAGCGGUGAAAUGCAUAGAUAUGACACAGAACGCCGAUUGCGAAGGCAGCUUACUAAGCCAUGAUUGACGCUGAGGCACGAAAGCGUGGGGAGCGAACAGGAUUAGAUACCCUGGUAGUCC